Humulus lupulus (European hop) is the source of this 5480-nucleotide long non-coding RNA. RefSeq lists it as uncharacterized. Lineage: Eukaryota; Viridiplantae; Streptophyta; Magnoliopsida; Rosales; Cannabaceae. The record is from RefSeq and is a predicted model, not a curated record. The transcript has 8 exons.
ACCAAUAGGAGCAUUUUUGUUUAACACAUAGAAAAAGUAUAACCCAAAUAUUUUUGUAUAACGGUUAAUAAGCCACUACAACAAAAAAAAAAAAAAAAAACCCUAUCCACAACACUUAAUUAUAAGAUUAUUAAAAAAGUAUUAUAAUAAAAUAAAGUAACUAGGGAAAGUAAAUAAAAAUCAAUCUAAAACGCGGCAAAUGGAAUGUUGUGUUAUAUUUUAUUUCCUCUUAAUCACUCUCUUUUCGUCUUUCUCUCUCUUUUUCUUCUUGUUUUCUCUCUAUUUUGGCAAACCUAGGCUGAAAAAAUUUGUAAAGACUGAAGAUUGUAAGCCACCACCUCUCUCGGACAUGAAUCUUACGCGAGGCUCAACGAACAAAAGGAGCUCCUCGGCCACCACCUUUGUUCAGAAGGUGUAUAGGUUUUGGGAUUAUCAUCAGUGAAGGAGAAAACUUGUACCUAAGAACAUUAAAAGAGCUUGCUGAGUUUGUGAGCGAGCGAGUUACACCUGAAGGAAUCCUAGAUUUUGUGAAGCAUCGGCUUAAUGGAGGGAAUCAAUCAUUCUUUCUUUAUCAUCUCCAACCACCAACACCAUCUCUCUCGGUUGUCAUCUUGCACCACAACCAACCACAGAGGAAAAAGUUGCUCUUAAGGAAGAAAUGAAUAAGAAGGAGAGUAUAAAACUCAAGAUAAAAUGUGCUGAAACUCAUGAGGGCCAUUGCAAGCAGCUAGGUUCUUCGAGGCAAUGUUGAGUUCGGUCUGACACACAUGAUGCUACUGUGGAGGACGAAGAAGAGAUAAAGCCUACAACUUGCAUGAGUUGGGUCACAAAGUUGGAGAAACAAUAAAAAGUUGGCAAGCUCGAACUUGGAACUAGUAUUCAGCAAGAAUUAAUACAAGCGCUGUUGAUAAUAUUGCUGGAAGCAUGGACCAAGUGAAUGAGGAUUCACCAUAUGGUAUGAACGUAGUUUCAGUUGAAGACAGACCAUCAAGUGGUGAUGAAGAUUCAGACUCUGUAGUUCCACCUGUGCCAUUGGUCUCUGCAUCUCGCAGUGAACACAAGUGGGGUGAUACCAACUCGUAUGCUGUGAAGAAGUUUAUUGUUUCAGAAGCUUCAAUCUUGGUUUCAACGCCCAAAUAGGAAAUGGGAGCUUGCGAAAAUAUUGUCAAUCUCAGGGACUUAAUCUGUCAUUGCAUUGUCUGAUGAGAAAGUUUUAAAGGUACAAACUGAAAGUUUGGUCCCAGCAAAUCCUGAUAUCCUUGAUGGUGUAGAUGAUCUCAUGCAGCUAAGUUAUCUAAAUGAACCAUCAGUGUUGUACAAUCUCUAGUACAGAUACAAUCAAAAUAUGAUUUACGUAUAUUCUCAAAUUUGUUGUAUCUUUUCUUUUGUCAUUUUCUUGGAAAUCUAUCUCCUCUAUUGUCUUGACAUUUUGAUUGUAUUCCUUGUAGACAAAAGCAGGACCAGUGUUGGUUGCUAUCAAUCCAUUUAAGAAAGUUCCUUUGUAUGGAAAUGAAUAUAUAGACGCAUAUAAGAGCAAAACAAAUGACAACCCACAUGUGUAUGCCAUUACAGACACAUCAGUCCGGGAAAUGAUAUGAGGUUCUUUACUCGUUCAAUAUUUAUAAGAUUAUUCUUUUCAGCACAUAAAUCCCACCUUGAGAAUUGUCAUUAGCUGUUAAAAGUUCUAAUGUGACAUACUUGUUUCUAGAUGAUGUAAAUCAGUCUAUCAUCAUAAGGUUAGUGAACAAUUCCCUCCCAUUCUGUUAUAAACUUAUAAUGUUGCAGUUUCCAGUUUCCAGUUUGCUGAUUGUUUAUUUACAUAUUUUGAUUGUAAUUUUGUUGUCUUACAUGCUUUAUAUGUUUUACACAUCUAGUACAGACUUAGGUCCUUUGAUGUUUAAGUGAGAGAUUUAUAAGAAUUAAUGGGUUCUGUCAUGCUUGAAUGAUUUGGAUUUUUCAAAACUUAAAAAAAAAUCAUUAUUACUUUUUAUAUAUAAGAAUAUGUUGCAAUCUUGGUAAUUCUAUAUAAUGAGUUUAAAUAAUAAAUCUCGUCUUAUUGUUUUGAAUGACAUUAUUAUUUAUAUAAUUGUAUUCUAACACUAAGAGGUCAUAUAUGAUCUCUUCACUUUGUGUUUCUUUUUUUAAACAAAAAAAAGUGUAAAGAAUAGAUCGAGUGUGCCAAUUAUUUGCAACCAAAAGUAUGAAUAUGAGACUUAGCCACACUAAAUUGUAUUUUGUAUGGUCUUGAAACUUUCGAAGCAAUUGACCUCAAAAUGACAUUAGGCAACUGGUGAAUUUAGAAGCUGUAUGGCGUAUUUGUCUACCUAGGGAAGAAAUCUUAUGUUAUUGAGAGAAAGAGCUGGUUUAAAUUAUUCUGAGGGAUAUUUUUUUUUAAGAGCUUUGCUUUCCUUUUAGUCAUUACAGAGAUAGCAAAACUAGGAAAGUUUAAAGAUUGAUGAGAUGUGCAAAGUAUUUCCAAAACAGGGAAAAUAAAACUUGUAUUACUAGGCAAUAGAGCUAUCAUUACUUAGUAUGCGUGGCUCAUAUAUAUAUACACAUAGAAUUACAUGGGUAUGUAUAGAUUAGAAUGCUUUACAGCUUAUGGAGCUGAAUUAGUACAUACUUAUGGGAGGAAACUCUAGUGUUUCCAUAGCUAGAACUGUAUAUUAAUCUAUUACAACAGAUAUAUUUUAAUUACCAAAAGUUCUCAUGUUUAAGCUUAACUAAACCAUAAAACAUAGGUAUGUGAAAACUCUUGCUUAUUAAAUGAGUAGGACUUUCAAGUAGUUAAUAGAUCAUAUAUAUUUACACAGUCACAACAGUAACUUAAAAUUGCCGGGAAUGGGUUUUUUUUCUUUCUUAUAUAAAUGAUUUUUAAACAUAAGCUAGCUAGCUUUGGCAGAGAAGCCAGAUAUGAUCAGAUCAGACCACCAAAGAGAUAAUCAAAUAAGGAGAUGGAAUAAUUGUAGAAGUUACGUUACAUGUGCAUAUAUAACAUAGAGGAUGUAACUUCAGUAUAUGAAUAAUAUCAAAUAUCAUUUUCUAAUUAAAUGUUGUUACCUUUUUGUUGUUUGCAUAUCAAGGGCCAUUGGUAAUAGUAGUGUGCCUUUAAUUAAUUUACCCUACUGUUGCAAUCAAUAUAUGGUUUUAAUUUGCUUUGUACAUUCUUUUUCUUGCAAAUCUAUAUAUUUUCUCUGUUUGCUUGUAUAAUUUAGGGGCUGUCGAAAUUUUUAAAGUUUCUAUGUUCUCUAAGCUUAGUUUUGAUCCAAUUCAUACCAGCCAUCUAGGGGACUCAGGAACAAAAUGUAGACCAACCAGUAAGACAAUGCAUGGAACAAGUCCUCCAGAUAAAAAAGUAAACAAAAAAAAAAAAAAAAAAACUCAGAAGUCAGUCCCUUAAAUUCUUGUAUGUUUCUUUUGAAAAAUUCAGUUCAAUCACAUAACAUACACAUAUAUAGUGAUAUAGGAAAAUAAAUAAAAUAUGUAAUUGUAAUCACUAUUUACCAGUUAGUUAGAGCUAAUGAUCUCCAACUUAUAGUUGUCCCUAUGAUAAAGGCAAGUGAUCCUCCAAGAACAAUCAUGAGCUGAAGAACAAACAAGCAAACAUAUAUAAGAAUUUAACUUUAUAUGAUAAUCUCAUCUAGUAUUCAGAAUUAAGAUGAAAUUAAUCAUCUGUUGUACCUGAUUUAGUGUUGUAAGACCUCCACGGAGAUGCUCUCUGCUAUAUAUAUUGGGACCUGUUCAUGUUUUCAUUCAUUAGUAAUCUUAUUAGUAUAAAUAAUAUGAAUAUAUUAUCAUUAGAAAUAUAAAAAAUUAAGUGGUAGUCAAAAAAGUUACCACAUAAGAGAAAAUUCCAAUGCCAUAUCCUGUGAAUAGUCUUCCCAUGUCAAGGGACAUAGCUCCCUGUAUCAGAAUUUUUUUCAACUCAGAAACUGACCCAAUUGAAAACAAUAUUCAACAAUUUAAUACUUGAAGAUAGACUCAAAAUUUAUCCAGUAGAUCAGUAGACCUACAAGUGUCUCCUGUGUGGUGGGGUGCUGCUGCACUUAUGCAGCUAGCUGCUGCAUGGGUAUAUAUAUAUACAUAUAUAUUUAUAUAUAAGAAUAAAAGAAUAUCAUUAAAUAUGAUAGUUUAUAUAUAGGAGUAUAGUAUCUACUAGUAAAAAUAAUGAUCAAAAGAAAUAGACAAACAAACACGUAAAGGAUCUCUAUUAAUAUGUUCUCAUUAUAUAGUAUAGAGUAUAAUAUAUAUAUAUAUAUAUAUAUAUAUAUACUACUAGUGAUAGUGAAAAUGAAAAUGAAAUUGAUGCAAAAACCAGAUAUUCUCAUUGCCUGCAUUGCAUUCCCCCACAUAAAAAUUUAAUACACAUAAUCUAUCUCAUUAAUUUGUUGUUAUCAUAGUUGCAAAACAAAGACACCUCUAAUGUACCAAUAUACAAGGAAUAUGGAAUCAUAUUGUGAUCAUAUUUUAUUAAAAAAAUUAUCUCUAUAUAUAGUUUCACAUAGAUCAUUUGUUAAGUACUCAAGAGAUUAAUAAAACUAAUGUACGUAUAAAAUUGAUGAUGGAGAAUAUAAUUUGAUUGGUAUCCGGAAUUAUUAUCGAGAACAUAAGUAUUAGAGUUAUAUUUUUUUAAGACGCAUGAUAGAAAAUAAGUAUAUUAUCAUACAAAAUCAACUCUAGUUAAAAUUGAAACAAACACUAUACUACUAACAUGAUAUUUAUUUUUACUUAACUAAUUAAAUGAAUCUUUGAAUUAGUAAAAACAUAUGUAUUUUUCAGAAUAUUAUAUGUGGUGUGGAUGAGAUAAAAUAAUAAUAUUAUGUGAUUGUUUUAACUUAGCAACACGAAGAUUAUUAUUUAUAUUUCAUGGAAUUUUCUUCAUAGUAAUAAUAAGACAUAAUAGCUUUGUAUAUAAAAAGAACUUUCCAAUUACAUUGACAAACUACACUAUUAAUAAAAGAAAAAAGUGAUAUUUUGAUCUGCAGGUUCAUGAAACAUGUUGGUGAGUCAACUAGAAUGUUUGACUUAUAUAUACCCAAAAUUUAAUAUAUAAAGAUUUUUUUUACUUAUUGUAUCAUUUAAUUUUAAUUUUGUAUUAAUUUUUUAGGUAUUGAUUAUAUUUUUUAGGUUGUGGAUCGAAUUGGCAAGGAGGAUUGCAAAGUUAAUUAACUUGAUUAUUAAUUGCAAGAGAUUCAACAAGUGAAGUGCAAAAGAAAAUCUGAUUUGGAAGGCUUUGGUGUACUAACAUUUGGAAGAUUAUGAAUUCCUACCUUUACUUUUGAAUAUGCAACUGUUUAAGACUAUUUUGUUGACUAUUGUGAGAAUAUUUUGUUUAUGUUAAUUAGGCAGUGUUGAAUAUCUUAAGACUUUUGGAUUGUUUUUAAGAUAAUCUUGAAUGUAUUUUGACACAAUUGGUACUCAAAAAUUGGUUAUAUGUGUUAUGAACCAUAUAAUUGGCACUCAAAAAUAUAUUUGUACAA